This 847-nucleotide ribosomal RNA is filed under the name uncultured bacterium. RNAcentral's name for it is "bacterial SSU rRNA". It matches the Rfam family "Bacterial small subunit ribosomal RNA", at positions 639 to 1500 of the family's 1533-position model. The record is from RNAcentral.
AACUUGAGUACAGUAGAGGUAGGCGGAAUUCGUGGUGUAGCGGUGAAAUGCUUAGAUAUCACGAAGAACUCCGAUUGCGAAGGCAGCUUGCUGGACUGUAACUGACGCUGAGGCACGAAAGCGUGGGGAUCAAACAGGAUUAGAUACCCUGGUAGUCCACGCCGUAAACGAUGAAUGCUAGCUGUUAGCGAUAUACUGUUAGCGGCACAGAGAAAUCGUUAAGCAUUCCACCUGGGGAGUACGCCGGCAACGGUGAAACUCAAAGGAAUUGACGGGGGCCCGCACAAGCGGAGGAACAUGUGGUUUAAUUCGAUGAUACGCGAGGAACCUUACCUGGGCUUAAAUUGCAGUGGAAUAACGUAGAAACAUGUUAGCCUUCGGGCCGCUGUGAAGGUGCUGCAUGGUUGUCGUCAGCUCGUGCCGUGAGGUGUCGGCUUAAGUGCCAUAACGAGCGCAACCCUCAUCGAUAGUUACUGACAGGUUAAGCUGAGGACUCUAUCGAGACUGCCGACGUAAGUCGUGAGGAAGGUGGGGAUGACGUCAAAUCAGCAUGGCCCUUACGUCCAGGGCUACACACGUGUUACAAUGGGGGGUACAAAGGGCAGCUACCUGGCGACAGGAUGCUAAUCUCAAAAACCUCUCUCAGUUCGGAUUGGAGUCUGCAACCCGACUCCAUGAAGCUGGAUUCGCUAGUAAUCGCGCAUCAGCCACGGCGCGGUGAAUACGUUCCCGGGCCUUGUACACACCGCCCGUCAAGCCAUGGGAGCCGGGGGGACCUGAAGUAUGCAACCGUAAGGAGCGUCCUAGGGUAAAACUGGUGACUGGGGCUAAGUCGUAACAAGGUACC